UGGAGGGUUAAAAGGAAUAAUUUCAACAGGGUGAAGGCCUGGCACGGUGGCUCACAACUGUAAUCCAAGGACUUUGGGAGGCUGAGGUUACAGUGAGCUGAGAUGGCACCACUGCACUCCAGCCUAGGUGACAAAGCAGCAAGACGCAGUCUCAAAACAACAACAACAAAAAAAACGGGAAAACAGGUACAGACAAUAGCUGCCUGGAGUUGUACAGAAACUUGAUUGGGUAACCCUGGACCUUUCCAGGCUGUGGCCAGCAGUUGACCCUGCCUGCCUUUCCUCCAUUGUUUUCCCAUGUCUGACCUUCCCUGUUGCAAAGCAGUGGCCUACUACAGGGUCUCUCUGGAGGGAGCAAGGAGGCUCAGUGGCCCCAUUCAGCAAUUCGAAGUCCCUUUAAUUGUUUUGUGCUUCCAACCUGUUUUGUUCCCGUUCAGAUUUCUCUCGCCUUCCAAUAAAAACUUCCCUGUCCUGUGCCCCAGUCCCUCAGAGUCCACAAGAGGUUCAACUUGCUCAUCUGAUGUGUGAAUUACAUCACACAGUUGAAUGAGAAUUUGUUAAUUACAACAGAACUUUUAUAAAUA
This 584-nucleotide long non-coding RNA is filed under the name Homo sapiens (human). RNAcentral's name for it is "HSALNT0297439". Lineage: Eukaryota; Metazoa; Chordata; Mammalia; Primates; Hominidae. The record is from RNAcentral.